Nitrococcus mobilis Nb-231 is the source of this 152-nucleotide non-coding RNA. Lineage: Bacteria; Pseudomonadati; Pseudomonadota; Gammaproteobacteria; Chromatiales; Ectothiorhodospiraceae. The record is from Rfam.
UCCGGUGUUCUGCCACCGGUACCCUACCGGGCCAUGCGUCGGGAGUAAUCCCGGGGUGCGAAGCGUCCGGGACACUGUGGCCUCCGCCUGAUACGCGGGCAACUGAACCGCGAGGGGACGUUGUGACUGCCAGCCUCAGGGCGGUCGGGAGC